AGUCCUCCAGCCCCAUAGGGGGCGCUGUGGGGCUCAAUAGAACUCUAUGGGGCUCUAUGGGUCUCUAUGGGUCUCUAUGGGUCUCUAUUGGUCUCUGUGGGUCCCUAUGGGUCCCUAUGGGUCCCUAUGGGUCCCUAUGGGUCUCUAUGAGUCCCUAUGGGGUCCCUAUGGGUCCUUAUGUCCCCCUAUGGGUCUCUAUGGGGCCCUGUGGGGUCCCUAUGGGUCCCUAUGGGUCUCUAUGUGUCCCUAUGGGUCUCUAUGGGGCUCUAUGGGUCCCUAUGGGUCCCUAUUGGUCUCUAUGGGUCCCUAUGGGUGAUAUGGGGUGUCUAUGGGGCUCUAUGGGGCUCAGUCCUCCAGCCCCAUAGGGGGCGCUGUGGGGCUCAGUCCUCCAGCCCCAUAGGGGGCGCUGUGUUGCUCACUGUUGCCUUCUCUCGCCCGCAGGUUUCCGUCGCCGUCGCUGAUUGGGUCGUUAAUUAAAGGAGUUAAUUAAGUCUCACGUUGCUCAUUAGUGUUAAUUAGAGAAGGGGGGGGGGGAUUCUAACAUGGCUGCCCCCUUCCAAUAUGGCUGCCACCGGAAUCCAACAUGGCUGCCCCCAGAAUCCAAUAUGGCCGCCCAUCAAAUAUGGCUGCCCCCAGAAUCCAAUAUGGCCACCCCCGUAAUCCAAUAUGGCCGCCCAUCCAAAUUGGCUGACCCCAAUCCAACAUGUCUCCUCCAUAGAGCCCCAUAGAGCCCUAUAGAGCCCCAUAGAAUCCCAUAGAGGCCCCAUAGACACCCCAUAGAGCCCCAUAGAGACCCCAUACAAUCCCAUAGAGCCCUAUAGAACCCCAUAGAGCCCCAUAGACACCCCAUAGAGCCCCAUAAGUUCCCUAUAGAGCCCCAUAGAGCCCAAUAGAGGCCCCAUAGAGCCCAAUAGACUCCCCAUAAUGCCCCAUAGCGCCCCAUAGAUCUUCAUAUCCCCACAUAGAGCCCCAUAGGACCCCACAGACUCCCAUAGUCACCCCAUAGAGCCCCAUAAAACCCCAUAGAGCCCCAUAGACACCCCAUAGAGCCCUAUAGAACCCCAUAGAGCCCCAUAGAGCCCCAUAGACACCCCAUAGAGCCCCAUAAGUUCCCUAUAGAGCCCCAUAGAGCCCCAUAGAGCCCUAUAGAGCCCCAUAGAACCCCAUAGACUCCCAUAGUCACCCCAUAGAGCCCCAUAGAACCCCAUAGAGCCCUAUAGGACCCCAUAGACUCCCAUAGUCACCCCAUAGAGCCCCAUAGAACCCUAUAGAGCCCCAUAGAACCCCAUAGAAUCCCAUAGAGCCCCAUAGAAUCCUAUAGAGCCCCAUAGAAACCCCAUAGUGCCCCAUAGUGCAUCAUUAUCUCCCCAUAGAGCCCUAUAGACACACUAUAGAGCCCCAUAGAGCCCCAUAGAAUCCCAUAGAGCUCUAUAGAACCCCAUAGAAUCCCAUAGAGCCCUAUAGAACCCCAUGAAAGGUCACGUGGCCGUCAUGCCGCGAUCUGAUUGGCUGCCGCUCUCCCGCCGCGCUUCCCGCCUGUGUCUAUGCCACGUGAUCUCCACCUCGCGUUCCCAUUGGUUGUCGCUACGCUGCCGCCACGCCGCGCGGGAUUGGCGGAGAGCGGCGGUGGGCGGAGCUACCGAGGUUAUAAAAGGGGGCGGAGCGGAGCGCGUGUCUCCACACAGCGGCGUCGGAGCAGCGGACCUGACCGCGAUCGUUAAGUGUUAAUUAAGACCUUAAUUAACCGCUAAUUACCAUCAUUAACAACCGCCUUAGGGCCGGGAGACGAUUCAGGUUUGAAGGGGGGUGGGUUAAAGUGCGAAAAUCCGCCGUUUUUUGGGUGAAUUUCGGACGUUUUGAGGCUUUUUGGGGCCUGUUGGUGUUUUGGGGUGAAAUCGGGCGGUUUUGGGUCAAAAUUGGGGCGGUUCGGGGGGGGGAGGGGGGUCAGGCGCCAUUUUGGGGCCGUUUUGAGGCCAAAUUGGGGCUUUUUGGGGCUUUUUGGGGCCGUUUGGGGCAAUUGAAGUUUUUGAGGUAAAAUCGAGCGAUUUUGGGCAAAUUUGAGGGAAAUUUCGACAUCCGGGAGUAGAAAAAGGGAAAUUGAGCCUUUUUGGGGCAUUUUGGGUCGUUUUUGGGUCAAAUUUGGGCCUUUUUGGGUCCGUUUUGGAGGUGUGAAAAUUUGGGUUAAAAAAGGCCUUUUUUGGUUCAUUUUCGGUCAAAAUUGAAGUUUUUAACAACGAUCGAAUAAAUUUGUGCCAUUUUAGGUCA
Molecule: long non-coding RNA, 2265 nt
Organism: Coturnix japonica (Japanese quail)
Lineage: Eukaryota; Metazoa; Chordata; Aves; Galliformes; Phasianidae
Source: Ensembl